GUCAUCAGCUAUUCUCUGUGUACAGAGAUUUAUGGGAAUUCCUUCUAAAGGUAAAAGACUGUCUGUUCUCAUGGCGGUGGCAUGUGUGGCAUCAUGGUGCACUGGAGCUAUAUUUGGAGCAGUGCCAGUAGCCUUUGACUGGAUAAGGUGAGCCAGAGUGAAGAUGCUCAGAGAUGCUCCGAAUAUAUGCAUCUAUACUGUAUUCUGCCUCCUAUGUUCAGGUAUGAUCCAGCAGAAAUGCUGUGUGCAGUGUUCUGGGAAAGCAGUUACUCUGACAUGCUGGUUUACAUCCUUUGUGCCUUCUCCAUCUCCAUCUUCGUCCCAUUUCUACUCAUACUCUCCUGCUCCAUCCUGACUUGUGUAGGCUUUGGAAAAGACGGUUCCAGCCAGGGUGACCUGUCUUCUGUCACGCCACUGCUGGUGAUCUUGUAUCUGUUCUGCUAUGUUCCAUCUGCUGCAUCUGAGUUGGUUCUCCUUGGAAGGCUUGAUCUAUCCCCAUCCCCUGAAUGGCUGCAAUCACGGUCAUCAGUAAUGGCAUAUCUGGACUGUGGUUUAAACCCCUUUAUCUACUGCACUAAUAAAGACUUCCGAAAAGCAGUACUCAUACUGUUUUGGAACAAAAGGAGAUCAGCUUUUCCCGAUCCAGUGCUGACCGGCAUUACAAGGCUUGAAAUAUGAAGAUUUAAAAUAAAG
Molecule: long non-coding RNA, 693 nt
Filed under: Sinocyclocheilus anshuiensis
Lineage: Eukaryota; Metazoa; Chordata; Actinopteri; Cypriniformes; Cyprinidae
Description: lncRNA (ENSSANG00000043745.1)
Source: RNAcentral